This 717-nucleotide long non-coding RNA is filed under the name Mytilus galloprovincialis (Mediterranean mussel). The record is from RNAcentral. Lineage: Eukaryota; Metazoa; Mollusca; Bivalvia; Mytilida; Mytilidae.
CUCAUUUUCAUGGUUCAGUGGUUAUAGUUAAGUUUUUGUGUUUUGGUCUGUUUUUCUCAUACUUUAUGCAAUAGAUCUACUAUAUUUGUUGUAUGGAAUGAUUGUAAGGUGUACAUGUCUAGCGAGCAGAUGUCAUCUGACCUGGACCUCAUUUUCAUGGUUGAGUGGUCAAAGUUAAGUUUUUGAGUUUUGGUCUUUUUAUCUAAUACUAUAUGCCAUAGGUCAACUAUAUUUGGUGUAUGGAAAUAUUUUAUGAUCUAUAUGUCAGUCGCGCAGGUUUUAUUUGACCUCGACCUCAUUUUCACGGUUCAUUGCUCAGUGUUAAGUUCUUGUGUUUUGGUCUAUUUUUUUAAAACUAUAAGUAAUAGGUCAACUAUAUUUGUUGUAUGGAAGCAUUGUUAGCUGUACAUGUCUGCCUGGCAUGGUUCAUCUGACCUUGACCUCAUUUUCAUGGUUCAUUGCUCUUUGUUUAGUUAUCUUGGUUAAUGUUAAGUUUAUGUGACAGUUUUUAAUAAAGCUUUAUACUUAGGACUAUCAACAUAAUAUCAAUGAUAAGUAAAGAAGGCGAGACAUUUCAGUGUGUGCACUCUUGUGAAUUUACGAAUUAUGUUAAUCAUGUAAAUAAUGUUAUGUUUUUUGUUUUUUGCUUUUUGAAGUUUUUAAAAUUGACAAAUAAUGCUAGCAGGGGAGAUUAUUCAUUAAUAUUUUUAUGAUGCC